Molecule: long non-coding RNA, 241 nt
Organism: Panicum hallii
Lineage: Eukaryota; Viridiplantae; Streptophyta; Magnoliopsida; Poales; Poaceae
Exons: 3
Source: RefSeq, a predicted model, not a curated record
CCGGUGGCCGCGGAUCCACUCCUCGUCCCAAACCCUAGCGAAAUCUGGGGCAUCAUCUCUUCCUCGCUCUAGCUUUCCCCAAUCUAAGGCAUUCCGCUCCCAUUCUCCACAGGCUCACUUCAUCCUGAGGAGUGGCGAGGUCCAUCAAAUCCGGCAGCACUGAUGACAAGAUCUUUUUAAGAAUGUAGCAAGAAAGUGACAGAAGAUGCCCACAUAGCUGCUGAGUGAGAUGGUUCAGCAC